UCCUCAUUUGCCUGGUGAAUGUUAACAGUCUCAAAGAUUAAACCACACAUGUCUAAGUAUGGUAGAGUGAAGCUUCCAAUGAACAUUAAAUAAGUUAUGAUUCCUUUCAUAACUCAACCCUGUCAUAUUUUGAUGAUAACUUGUAAUUCUAGAGCUAGUAGAUACAGGCGGGUGCUGAUCCUCUUAAGGGAGGAUGCAUGCAUUUUUCAGAUCAAAACCAACACUCUCCCCCUCCCCCUUGGCCCUGUCAGGUGGGUGGGUGCCAGUGGCUUUGGUGACUCUAGACAAACUUGGGCUGAUCACACACCCCCUGUGGUUUGGAUGACCCAUUAAAAGUCUCCCCUAUCAAUUUUUAUGGUAGUUACUCUUUCUCACAUGGUGACCACAGACAAUGGGCAAUCCAGAAAGGGAGACUUAGAAAUGGCUACAUCAUCCAAGGAAGGCAGCAGGUGUGCAAAUUCACCACUACUCACUGAGAAAGGUAGUGAUAUAAUAUAAAAGCACAGGACUUUUUUGAAGCUAUGUAACUGAAAUGAAUCCACAUUAAAUUCUCAAGGGUCCAUUGAGGGUAAGUCUGGUUCCAGCAGCCAUGGUUAUUCCAGCUCCAAAAGUGUAUAUUAUAAGUUGCUGCCAUUAUGAAGACAUAGUUGGGUGUGGAUGGGUGGCCUGCCAUGAGGUGAGCCACUGCCUAUCCCUUCCCCUUGCCUCAUGGCAUGCCCUUGAUGCUCUUAGUUGAGUGUCCCAUGGGGCUUGUAGCAUUUACUUUGAAAAAUAUUGUGUUUAAAGUAGGCUUAAGCCACCUGGAUCUGAAUCUAGGAAUGAAGAAAUAGGACCACUGUUCUAUUUUUUUUUAAACUAAAACCAUGUUUAAGAGGGAUGAUUGGGACAUUUACAUUGUGUCACUAGAGGUGAGAUUUUUGGACCAGUGAAGGAUGAACCAUAGUGAAAGCAUUUACCAAGAAUUUUCAUUAAUCAAAAAUGAAAUUUGGAUGUUUGAAGAGGAUCAAAUAUCGUCUGACUGUAAACAAUGACAACUAGCAAUAUGGCAGUGUCUUUCUAAUGACCUGCUGGGAAACCAGUCUUUGGGUUCCAGGGGAAGCAUGGUUGCAAAACUGAAACUUAAAUGAAAUGAUGGAAGUGCACCACCAGGACUGGGACAUAUGGCUUAAUUUGACUCAAUAUGAGGAACCUCACUCUGCCCAGAAACAGACAAGUUUGACAGAUUGAUAGCUCUUUCUUGAUUCUGUGGGAGGUGGUGCAUAGCCCUCCUUAGCUGGUGGAGUGAUUCAUUAGGUUAAUUCUGAUAACAAACAAGACUUUGGCAUGCUAACUAGUUAUGUGACCCCUGGGUGUCCUUCAACUUCUUAGAGGGACAAGUGGUCUUCAGCCACCUGAGAUGGAGGAAUAACAGGUCUAUGAUGCCCUUAGAUGUCCAGGGUUCAUGAAUUACAUCAACCAGCCUACUGCAUGCCUACCCCACACUGACAGGUGCUGGUAACCCAUCAAACUGCAUUUAUUAUGGAGAUUGGAGAUUGCAAUCACUUCCACAAAGGAAGAAUUCCCAGUAAGUGCAGGUCAUAAGCUUGUGUCAAGUACCUGCCCCUUGUACACAUCACCCAUGGCUGCUACUGAUUGGAUGGUUUAGUGAGGCUCUUGGAUUGGCCUUGCUGGGGUUGGCAUAUGGACCUGGAAGAACACUGAGAAGAUAGUCAAAGUUGACUAGAGGAAGUUAAAGUUUUAACAAGGUUUCCCUAGGUGAACUUGCAAAGAGAUCAUAA
Molecule: ribosomal RNA, 1778 nt
Organism: Sus scrofa (pig)
Lineage: Eukaryota; Metazoa; Chordata; Mammalia; Artiodactyla; Suidae
Rfam family: Eukaryotic small subunit ribosomal RNA
Source: Rfam